This 73-nucleotide transfer RNA is filed under the name Dictyocaulus viviparus (bovine lungworm). It matches the Rfam family "tRNA". Rfam says of the family: Transfer RNA (tRNA) molecules are approximately 80 nucleotides in length. Their secondary structure includes four short double-helical elements and three loops (D, anti-codon, and T loops). Lineage: Eukaryota; Metazoa; Nematoda; Chromadorea; Rhabditida; Metastrongylidae. The record is from Rfam by way of RNAcentral.
GCCUCGGUAGUGUAACGGGUCAGCACGGCAGACCGGAUAUCUGUAGGCCCGGGUUCGAGUCCCGCCUGAGGCU